RNAcentral lists this ribosomal RNA (450 nucleotides) under uncultured bacterium. RNAcentral describes it as "partial 16S ribosomal RNA". It matches the Rfam family "Bacterial small subunit ribosomal RNA", at positions 29 to 523 of the family's 1533-position model. The record is from RNAcentral.
AGCGAACAUUGGCGGUAGGCUUAACAUAUGCAAGUCGAGCGAGGCGUAAUAGUCGAGCGGCGAACGGGUGCGUAAUACAUGGAAAUCUACCCUGAAGUAUGGGAUAACGUCCAGAAAUGGACGCUAAUACCGUAUAAUCCAUAUUGGGAAAGCGUUGCAGCGCUUUAGGAUAAGUCCAUGGCUGAUUAGCUAGUUGGUGAGGUAAUGGCUCACCAAGGCGACGAUCAGUAGCUGGUCUGAGAGGAUGACCAGACACACUGGAACUGAGACACGGUCCGGACUCCUACGUGAGGCAGCAGUGGGGAGUCUUGCGCAAUCGGGGCAACCCUGACGCAGCCAUACCGCGUGAGUGAUGAAGGUCUGCGGAUUGUAAAGCUCUUUCGGCAGGGACGACGAUGACGGUACCUGCAAAAGAAGUCACGGCUAACUUCGUGCCAGCAGCCGCGGUAA